GAAAAGGAGCAAUCCGCUUUGAGAUGGCCUCGCGUCCGAUUAGCUAGUUGGUGAGGUAACGGCCCACCAAGGCGACGAUCGGUAGCCGGACUGAGAGGUUGAACGGCCACAUUGGGACUGAGACACGGCCCAGACUCCUACGGGAGGCAGCAGUGGGGAAUAUUGCACAAUGGGGGAAACCCUGAUGCAGCGACGCCGCGUGGAGGAAGAAGGUCUUCGGAUUGUAAACUCCUGUUGUUGAGGAAGAUAAUGACGGUACUCAACAAGGAAGUGACGGCUAACUACGUGCCAGCAGCCGCGGUAAAACGUAGGUCACAAGCGUUGUCCGGAAUUACUGGGUGUAAAGGGAGCGCAGGCGGGAAGACAAGUUGGAAGUGAAAUCCAUGGGCUCAACCCAUGAACUGCUUUCAAAACUGUUUUUCUUGAGUAGUGCAGAGGUAGGCGGAAUUCCCGGUGUAGCGGUGGAAUGCGUAGAUAUCGGGAGGAACACCAGUGGCGAAGGCGGCCUACUGGGCACCAACUGACGCUGAGGCUCGAAAGUGUGGGUAGCAAACAGGAUUAGAUACCCUGGUAGUCCACACUGUAAACGAUGAUUACUAGGUGUUGGAGGAUUGACCCCUUCAGUGCC
RNAcentral lists this ribosomal RNA (628 nucleotides) under uncultured bacterium. RNAcentral's name for it is "bacterial SSU rRNA". It matches the Rfam family "Bacterial small subunit ribosomal RNA", at positions 201 to 847 of the family's 1533-position model. The record is from RNAcentral.